RNAcentral lists this small nuclear RNA (171 nucleotides) under Oryctolagus cuniculus (rabbit). RNAcentral's name for it is "U4 spliceosomal RNA (ENSOCUG00000020469.2)". The stretch from base 1 to 80 matches the Rfam family "U4 spliceosomal RNA". Lineage: Eukaryota; Metazoa; Chordata; Mammalia; Lagomorpha; Leporidae. The record is from RNAcentral.
AGCUUUGCACAGUGGCAGUAUCGUAGCCAGUGAGGUUUAUCCGAGGUGCGAUUAUUGCUAAUUGAAGACCAAUAUUCUGAGAGCCAAACAGGUAGUUGUCCAGGUGAAAGCAAGGAUACAGACAGAAAGGAAGGAGGCUACAUGUCUGCUUGCUGGAGCCCUCAUGAAUGG